AUAUACGUUGAACGAUAAGUCGAGGCUGAUGAGCAACGGGCUAUCGAACGCAUUAUGCAGGGAAAGAGACAAGCGUCACUUGUCGGGGCUUGAAAUUUUCUGAUUUCAUGCAAAGGAAAAUCAACGUGGAGGGGGAAGUAUGGAUACUCGUCUGAGGACCCUGCAGCCUGAUGCCAAAGUACACCGCUACGAUCGCUGUCGAUACACUCCCUACGCGAUGGGUUAAGGCAAUGGAAGCAAAUAAAAUAUAGUUUCUGUUAUCUUGAAAUGAAAGUGACGGUUAUCGAUAACGAAAGUCAUUAGAUAUCUUCAAUUUUGUGUCGAGAGAUAAAUCAGAAUACAAAAAUCUACGAUAAUGUAUGAAUCUUUAAAACUCGUAGCGCACGUUAGAAAUAUAAUUCCACGAAGAAUGCUUAAUUGAGAAAUAAAACGAAACAUUCAAAAAUAGCAAAUAGCAAAAUAGCACUUUACGUCGGUGUGAUGACACUUUGGAAUAAACAUUUGAUAGAAAUAUUAAUUCCCACUGAAGCAAACAAUGAACCAAGUUUUCGAGCUUUCGGCCAAUAACAAAACACUUGCGCAAUGUCACACGUUCGCACAUGCGUUCGUAAAUAGCGCAUGCGAGUAUAAAUUCAUCGGCACGCUUGAAAACGAGUUUGCUAUUUUUGAGAAGAGAGCGCCGACGAUGCAGUUGUCGAGGCAAAUAUGACGCCUCUCGUGAAUGCAUUCACGAUAAUACGUUCACAGUACAGGGAUUGAAGGUUGUCGAGAUGUAAGAAAAAUACAUACUGUACGAUCCGUGUGGUGGAGAAUUCAAAUAAAAAAUAAACAACGAAAAUUCGAAUAUUUUUAUAUCGGCAGAACAAUGAAGAAUGACGAAUGACUCGAUAUCUGACUGGACAUGUUAAAAAUUUUCUAUACUGGUAAUAAAAACAGAAUAAAAUUAAAAAAUCAUGUUAGAAUUGUCAGUUGAGAAAAAGCGAUAGAGAGGCACAAGUCAUCAAGUCUUACUGAACCUUGUUACUGCAAUCACAUGUGCCCGCUGUUCUCCCACCGCCACUACUCAGGCCCGUAUUCGUUCGUUCACGGCACCACGUACCCAACAUUCCACCACAUUCAUUGCCCUCUCUCUUUUUAUUCCUCAUUCCUUGCCUCGCUCCCCUUUCCAACGUCCUACUUUCUACCUGUUACUCAGAGCUCAGAGUCCUUUGUGACGCUGCGAGAGAACUAAUGCUCCCGUUCUCUCUUCAAAUUUAAUCAAUUUUUCACCUUUCACAUUCCAUUUUAUUCGUUUAUAUUCAACGAGUGUUUUAAUAUUUUUUUUCACGAUAUUUAUAAGUUACUAUUCUUCGUUAUUUUCGACGAUAAAUUGGACCAUUUCUGUAACUCAUGUUUCUACGAAUUCUAACCUGUUUUUUGACGGACUCUAGUUGUUUGUGUAUUUAUAGAACAAUAACCAAUUGUUUUCGUCAUUAUCGCAUACGUGUAAUUUACUUCGAGUUGACGAACACUUUUUCCCAAAAUACUAUCAUUAGCAUUUGACAGAUUUUAUAAUAUUACGACGAUGAACGCAGUUUUCUAUUGAUUAAAAUAUUUGUUCGAAACUUAAAAAAAAAAAAAAUCGACACAAUGCUGUUUGCAGUCCCGGCGUACUGUUCUAUGGAGUAUAUCAAUAUUAGCGAUUUUCUCUGAGUUUAUCAUGUUGAUUUUUUCUAGAUUCGAUCAUCAUUGACUGAACUUCCAUAUAAUUUGCAGAAGAAAAUAUAAUCAUGAGCUAAUAGCCUGGUAAAAAAGGAAUAGAAUUAUAAAUAUCAAACGAUCGUGUCGCAAGUAUUGAUUAAUCGAGCAACAGGUCAAAUCGACGAGAAACGUUUACGAAUAAUGUGGAAUCAUUUGACUACGACCAUGUAAUGUAUUCCUAACGAAUGUACAGGUCAUAUAGUUUCCUAUCUCUCAUGAACUCCUGGUACAUGUUUCGUAUUUUAGUAAAUGGAUAACUGUAAUCAUACGGCUCUGAUAUUCCGACGAUGUAAGCACGUUUUUAUUUAAAGUGAAAAAAAAAACGUUGGAAGGUGCUAUGAAUCUACAUGACAUAUAUUUUGUUACAGUAUAAAAUAAAUGAAAAGUAUAACAAA
Molecule: long non-coding RNA, 2135 nt
Organism: Venturia canescens
Lineage: Eukaryota; Metazoa; Arthropoda; Insecta; Hymenoptera; Ichneumonidae
Exons: 2
Source: RefSeq, a predicted model, not a curated record